Molecule: non-coding RNA, 205 nt
Organism: Pelobates cultripes (western spadefoot toad)
Lineage: Eukaryota; Metazoa; Chordata; Amphibia; Anura; Pelobatidae
Source: the annotation of a GenBank genome assembly
GUAUGUGUCAUGAUGAUUAUCAGAAAUAAUAUGAAUGGGCAUGAUAACUUUGGCCAGGGUACACUCACCCCACCACUCAGUUUCCAACCUAGAUCUUAACUGUAGAUCCCCACAUAACCAGUAAAUAUCCCCCAAUGACCUGGUAUGGUGUUGCAACAGGCGUAUAGGAACAGUUCUGUAAGUGGCGCAAUAACCUUUAGAAAAG